GUCAUCAUCGGCUGACACAAACGCCAACAUAAAAGCGCAAAGAAAAACGAUGGUGCAGCUUUAGAAUCGUUUUAUAUUCACCAUUGAUUUAAAGUGGUCUGGUCAUUUCUCCCGUCGCACGUAUACUAUCGAAUCAAUAACCAAGUUUCCAAAAUCGUCCUCUGGAUUCAUUUUUUUGGUCAACAAUCAACCUUCAAUAAAUUAUUCUUCAACUCAUAUCACAAAUUACUGACUUUAAUCUAUUACAAUUUUGUUCUUUUCUAAUCCAUCAAUAAAGUUUUCUUUUAAACAAACA
Non-coding RNA from Dermatophagoides farinae (American house dust mite), 295 nucleotides. Lineage: Eukaryota; Metazoa; Arthropoda; Arachnida; Sarcoptiformes; Pyroglyphidae. The record is from RefSeq and is a predicted model, not a curated record.